Molecule: ribosomal RNA, 440 nt
Filed under: uncultured bacterium
Lineage: Bacteria
Description: partial 16S ribosomal RNA
Rfam family: Bacterial small subunit ribosomal RNA
Source: RNAcentral
CUACGGGGUGCACCAGUAGGGAAUAUUGCACAAUGGGCGAAAGCCUGAUGCAGCAACGCCGCGUGUGCGAUGAAGGCCUUCGGGUCGUAAAGCACUUUUCGGGAGGAUGAGAAAGGACAGUACUCCCGGAAUAAGUCUCGGCUAACUACGUGCCAGCAGCCGCGGUAACACGUAGGAGGCAAGCGUUAUCCGGAUUUACUGGGCGUAAAGCGCGUGCAGGUGGUUUGGUAAGUUGGAUGUGAAAUCUCCCGGCUCAACUGGGUGAGGUCGUUCAAAACUGCUGGACUAGAGGACGGUAGAGGAAAGUGGAAUUCCCGGUGUAGUGGUGAAAUGCGUAGAUAUCGGGAGGAACACCAGUGGCGAAAGCGACUUUCUGGCCCGUUCCUGACACUAAGACGCGAAAGCUAGGGUAGCAAACGGGAUUAGAUACCCGGGUAGUC